AUGAAGGCAAGAAAAAGAGAAGGCAGUACAAAAAUGGGCGUCUGGCCUAGCAACAACUCGAUUUGCUGUAUUGCUGCCUUUGCCUCCUUCAAUAGAGUCAGCACCUUCCUCCUCACCUCUCCCUCAACUCCGCCGGCCAUGAAGACCGCCGCCUCCACCACAGCUCUCGGCCACGAUCUAUUGGACGGCUCCUGUCGUGAGGUGGAGAAGAUCGAUGAGAGAGGGAGAGGAAGCGUUGUGGGAGGCGGGGGUCAGCAAGGGAGGUGGGGAUCGAUGGGGAUCAGCGAGGAAGAAGGGAGAUCGGCGGGGAUCAGCGAGGCGGGGAAGGAGGUGGGGAAAGAAGCGACAAGAAAGAGAUAA
Molecule: ribosomal RNA, 360 nt
Filed under: Triticum aestivum (bread wheat)
Lineage: Eukaryota; Viridiplantae; Streptophyta; Magnoliopsida; Poales; Poaceae
Description: partial small subunit ribosomal RNA
Source: RNAcentral